CCUCCCAGAGACAAGUUAGACUACCCUCUAAAGAGUGCUGUCAAACCAAUACUGUGCCAGGCCACAGGAGAGACAUCCUGAUGAAUGCUGGAACUUGGCUAUUGCUAUCAUGGUUUAUAAGCAUAACAGAUAGCCUAGACACUAUGGAUGGAAGCUUGGAAUAUCAUCGGAUAGAGUGGCACCAUCAGAGGAAUUCCUGGUAUUACCAAAUGAAGUAGGCAUGGGAACAGUUUUUGUGACAAAUAUUUUGGAUGUCUUCACUCUACCCCUCACCCACUGUAGGGAAGUGAAGGCAUGAGAAUUUGAACAGAAGAGACACCCUACUACCUGUACUUCCUACACAAGACCCAGUGACCACAGGCUCCC
RNAcentral lists this long non-coding RNA (366 nucleotides) under Homo sapiens (human). RNAcentral describes it as "HSALNT0057835". The record is from RNAcentral. Lineage: Eukaryota; Metazoa; Chordata; Mammalia; Primates; Hominidae.